RNAcentral lists this ribosomal RNA (253 nucleotides) under uncultured bacterium. Its description in RNAcentral is "partial 16S ribosomal RNA". It matches the Rfam family "Bacterial small subunit ribosomal RNA", at positions 524 to 776 of the family's 1533-position model. The record is from RNAcentral.
UACAGAGGGUGCAAGCGUUGUUCGGAAUUAUUGGGCGUAAAGCGCGUGUAGGCGGCCCGGUAAGUCCGCUGUGAAAGUCGGGGGCUCAACCCUCGAAUGCCGGUGGAUACUGUCGGGCUAGAGUGCGGAAGAGGCGAGUGGAAUUCCUGGUGUAGCGGUGAAAUGCGCAGAUAUCAGGAGGAACACCAAUUGCGAAGGCAGCUCGCUGGGACGUUACUGACGCUGAGACGCGAAAGCGUGGGGAGCAAACAGG